RNAcentral lists this ribosomal RNA (301 nucleotides) under uncultured bacterium. Its description in RNAcentral is "partial 16S ribosomal RNA". It matches the Rfam family "Bacterial small subunit ribosomal RNA", at positions 509 to 807 of the family's 1533-position model. The record is from RNAcentral.
CAGUCGCCGCGGUAAUACAGAGGGUGCAAGCGUUAAUCGGAAUUACUGGGCGUAAAGCACGCGUAGGUGGUUUGUUAAGUUGGAUGUGAAAUCCCCGGGCUCAACCUGGGAACUGCAUUCAAAACUGACUGACUAGAGUAUGGUAGAGGGUGGUGGAAUUUCCUGUGUAGCGGUGAAAUGCGUAGAUAUAGGAAGGAACACCAGUGGCGAAGGCGACCACCUGGACUAAUACUGACACUGAGGUGCGAAAGCGUGGGGAGCAAACAGGAUUAGAUACCCCAGUAGUCCCUGUCUCUUAUAC